AGUGAACGCUGGCGGUAGGCCUAACACAUGCAAGUCGAACGGCAGCACAGUAAGAGCUUGCUCUUACGGGUGGCGAGUGGCGGACGGGUGAGGAAUACAUCGGAAUCUACUUUUUCGUGGGGGAUAACGUAGGGAAACUUACGCUAAUACCGCAUACGACCUACGGGUGAAAGCAGGGGAUCUUCGGACCUUGCGCGAUUGAAUGAACCGAUGUCGGAUUAGCUAGUUGGCGGGGUAAAGGCCCACCAAGGCGACGAUCCGUAGCUGGUCUGAGAGGAUGAUCAGCCACACUGGAACAGAGACACGGGCCAGACUCCGACGGGAGGCAGCAGUGGGGAAUAUUGGACAAUGGGCGCAAGCCUGAUCCAGCCAUACCGCGUGGGUGAAGAAGGCCUUCGGGUUGUAAAGCCCUUUUGUUGGGAAAGAAAAGCAGCAGGUUAAUACCCCGCUGUUCUGACGGUACCCAAAGAAUAAGCACCGGCUAACUUCGUG
Molecule: ribosomal RNA, 492 nt
Filed under: uncultured bacterium
Lineage: Bacteria
Description: partial 16S ribosomal RNA
Rfam family: Bacterial small subunit ribosomal RNA
Source: RNAcentral